Molecule: non-coding RNA, 131 nt
Organism: Pelobates cultripes (western spadefoot toad)
Lineage: Eukaryota; Metazoa; Chordata; Amphibia; Anura; Pelobatidae
Source: the annotation of a GenBank genome assembly
AUCUGUGUUUGUAUGUGCUAGUGUGUGUAUCUGUGUGUCAAUGUGUAUCUCUGUGUGUGUGUGUAUGUAUCUGACACACACACACACACACUGGCACACAGAUACACGCAUUGUGUAUCUGUUGUGUGUAU